Molecule: ribosomal RNA, 253 nt
Filed under: uncultured bacterium
Lineage: Bacteria
Description: partial 16S ribosomal RNA
Rfam family: Bacterial small subunit ribosomal RNA
Source: RNAcentral
UACGUAGGGUGCGAGCGUUAAUCGGAAUUACUGGGCGUAAAGCGUGCGCAGGCGGUUCGUUAUGUCCGAUGUGAAAGCCCCGAGCUCAACUUGGGAAUGGCAUUGGAAACUGGCGGGCUGGAGUGUGGCAGAGGGGGAUGGAAUUCCGCGUGUAGCAGUGAAAUGCGUAGAUAUGCGGAGGAACACCGAUGGCGAAGGCAAUCCCCUGGGCCUGCACUGACGCUCAUGCACGAAAGCGUGGGGAGCAAACAGG